AUUCAUUUGACGAGUCCAAAAUAGAACAAAACGCGUGUCGUGGAU
This 45-nucleotide non-coding RNA is filed under the name Schistosoma mattheei. The record is from RNAcentral. Lineage: Eukaryota; Metazoa; Platyhelminthes; Trematoda; Strigeidida; Schistosomatidae.